Long non-coding RNA from Daucus carota subsp. sativus, 343 nucleotides. RefSeq lists it as uncharacterized. The transcript has 2 exons. The record is from RefSeq and is a predicted model, not a curated record. Lineage: Eukaryota; Viridiplantae; Streptophyta; Magnoliopsida; Apiales; Apiaceae.
UUUAAAAUAUGGCACCCUCUAAACUUGUAAUCAUGCUCGUGAUUUUUCUUUUCUCUCUACCCUAUAUUGUUGAAUGCGACCUGAUGAAUGAGAGCUCCAAGAAGAUGUUUAAAGCUGAUUAUGUUAACAAAAAAUUUAACAUCGGAUUCUGCUUACCUCAAAUUUGUUUCGGUAAAAUUUCGACAGAUAUCCACUUUCGCAUUUGUUGGUGCUGUAUUGGAGGAGCUAGUCCGGAUUGCGUCAAAUCAAAAUCAACUUGUAAUCAUAUUUGUAAUUUGUAGUACUAUUUCGGCACAACUUCUUAAAAGAAUAUAAUAAAAUCUACGUUGAGAGUUUAAAUAUA